This 85-nucleotide transfer RNA is filed under the name Felis catus (domestic cat). It matches the Rfam family "tRNA". From Rfam's summary of the family: Transfer RNA (tRNA) molecules are approximately 80 nucleotides in length. Their secondary structure includes four short double-helical elements and three loops (D, anti-codon, and T loops). The record is from Rfam by way of RNAcentral. Lineage: Eukaryota; Metazoa; Chordata; Mammalia; Carnivora; Felidae.
GCUUGGGUGGCUCAGUCAGUUGGGCGUCUGACUUCGACUCAGGUCAUGAUCUCACAGCUUGUGGGUUCAAGCCCCACGUCGGGCU